CACGCCGUAAACGAUGUCUACUAGAAGCUCGGAACCUCGGUUCUGUUUUUCAAAGCUAACGCAUUAAGUAGACCGCCUGGGGAGUACGGCCGCAAGGUUAAAACUCAAAUGAAUUGACGGGGGCCCGCACAAGCGGUGGAGCAUGUGGUUUAAUUCGAUGCAACGCGAAGAACCUUACCUACACUUGACAUACAGAGAACUUACCAGAGAUGGUUUGGUGCCUUCGGGAACUCUGAUACAGGUGC
Molecule: ribosomal RNA, 245 nt
Filed under: uncultured Pseudoalteromonas sp.
Lineage: Bacteria; Pseudomonadati; Pseudomonadota; Gammaproteobacteria; Alteromonadales; Pseudoalteromonadaceae
Description: partial 16S ribosomal RNA
Rfam family: Bacterial small subunit ribosomal RNA
Source: RNAcentral